This 88-nucleotide microRNA precursor is filed under the name Poecilia formosa (Amazon molly). RNAcentral's name for it is "Danio rerio miR-26a-1 stem-loop (ENSPFOG00000021386.1)". The stretch from base 14 to 88 matches the Rfam family "mir-26 microRNA precursor family". From Rfam's summary of the family: The hairpin precursors (represented here) are predicted based on base pairing and cross-species conservation -- their extents are not known. In this case the mature sequence is excised from the 5' arm of the hairpin. Lineage: Eukaryota; Metazoa; Chordata; Actinopteri; Cyprinodontiformes; Poeciliidae. The record is from RNAcentral.
GCCUCAUGGCUCUGGGCCUGAUUCAAGUAAUCCAGGAUAGGUUUGUUCAGACAAGCACAGCCUGUUCCGGAUGACUUGGUUCAGGAAC